GAAAGAGUCUGAGACUUUGGGUUGGAUGGUAGAAACGACCGACCAUUUGCUAAGAAACAUCAUAAAGACUUAGAAAGAGUCCGAGACUUGGAAAGAGUCCGAGACUUUGGGUUUGAUGGUAAAAGAAACAUCAUAAAGACAUAGAAAGAGUCCGAGAGUUUGGGUUGGAUGGUAAAAAUGACCGACAUUUUUUAAGAAACAUCAUAAAGACAUAGAAAGAGAUUGAGACUUUGGGUUGGAUGGUAAAAACGACCGACCAUUUGUUAAGAAACAUCAUAAAGACAUAGAAAGAGUCUGAGACUUCGAUUGAGUCUGAGACUUUGGGUUGGAUGGUAAAAACGACCGACCAUUUGUUGAAUUGAAAUAAACUAACGGCUUAAAAACAGAGCCAUAAGACAUAAGGACUUGACAAAGUUCUAAGGUCUGAUCACUUGUUGGAUGGUAGAAAACGACCAACAUUUUGAGGAAGUUAAGAUAAAGAUACUUCACAAACCGAUGAAGCGUUUUAAAAUUUGUUGGAUGGUAAAAACGACCAACAUCUUGAGGAAGUAAUAAGAUAAAGAUACUUGAAAAACCUGUGAAGCUUUUUAAAGACUUGUUGGAUGGUAAAACGACCAACAGCUUCAGAUAAAGACUAUGGAGGGGUUAAGACUUGUUGGAUGGUAAAAACGACCAACAUCUUGAGGAAGUCUUAAGAUAAAGAUACUUGACAAACCUAUGAAGCUUUUUAAGACUUGUUGGGUGGUAAAAACGACCAACAGCUUCAGAUAAAGAAUAUGGAGGGGUUAAGACUUGUUGGAUGGUAAAAACGACCAGCUUCUUAGGAUAAAAAGGUUAUGAUAAUGACUGAACCUAAAGCUAAUAAUAGAUUUACAGCUUAAAGAAGUCUUAAAAUAAAAACAGAGCCUAAAACAAAUGGAGAAACAGUGGAGGGCUUAACUAGUUAACUGGCUCAAGUUACUUUGCUUUGUUGGAUAGAAAAUACGACCAAUAGCUUCAAAGAACAAGGUAAGUAUUCAACAUUUAUGUUAAAUCAAGACUAACUAGUUUUAUUUUUCUCAGGUUAUGUGCUUCUGAUGGUGUUCAAAUUGGUAGACUUUGAGGAGAUUUAAAAUGUAGCAGACUUCUGGAACAAGUAUGUACUUUCAAACCUUUUUGUAAUUAGUUGAUAGUGAUACAAUUUUGAAAAUCAUAAGGAAGAGACACAGACGUUAAGUAAAAUGACUUGUUUUGAUUUUUUUUCCAGGUAUAUGCUUCAGAAGUGUGCCAAGGACAUCUGUAAGUGUAGCAAAAUUAUGUGACCAGGUUUAUGCUUUUCUAAAAUUGUCUGUGAAAAAUUCAUAGUAUUACAUAUGUGAUUAUUUUACAUAUUAAGUUUAGUGUAUACGUCAAGUAAGAAAUUAGAAAUGCCUAGUUAGAAAUGUUUAUUAAAUAGCUCUCUCUUGAUAACAUUACUAUCCUUGAUCUAGUAUUCAUUAGAUUAUAGGAACUUCUUGCUACCAUUGUUAAAAAGGUAGAGUUUUGUUUUGGGUAACGUUCCAAUACCGUAUUGGAACGUUACAUUGACAUUGUGUGCUUAAAAUAGUUAUUAUCUCUAUGUUUGUGUAUGUAUUGCAGAGUCUCUUAUUUUAGUCGCUUGUACCAUAUUUAUUUUGAAGUAGCAAAGACUUGUGCAUAUUAUGGAUUGUAGUUUUCUUGAACCUCUAUAAUAUUUUUUUUGUGUUAUGCUCAAAACAUUCUGCAUCUCAAAACCCUUUGAGAUUAUUCUACUCAUGUGAAUGACAUUUUAAAAUUCUGCAUCAUUGUGUAGAAUAGCAUUUUCUCUUAUCUAUGAUGAGAAGGUAGGUUUUACUUAACAUUACCUUGUGUAUAUAAUAUUUAUCAUCUCUGUUUUGAUGCUUCUAUGUAACAUAAGGUUUCUCAUUUUAUGAAAUGAAUGCAUCUUGUAGUGUCUCUUUAUAAAUUUACUAUGAAUGUAGAUGUGAUUCCAACAGAUGAAUGUAGUAAUUUUCUUCAAUCUCAAAUGUAUAUGUUUUGCGUUAUGUUCUGAACCCUUGUUGAUUGAUAUUUCGGUAUUUUGUAUCUUUAACCGAUGAUUACAAUAUUAAAUUCUGCAAAUCAUGUUGCUUGAGUCUUUACUAUACAAACUGAUUGAAAAUAUCUCUGUUAUGGUACUAUAGAGUCUACUCUAAAUGUUACUGAGUUGAUGGAGCUUGGAAUCUAUUGAAUUACUAGAAUGUGAAAUCUUUCUUGAUUUUCCU
This 2261-nucleotide long non-coding RNA is filed under the name Capsella grandiflora. RNAcentral's name for it is "long non-coding RNA (CGRA_LNC000324)". Lineage: Eukaryota; Viridiplantae; Streptophyta; Magnoliopsida; Brassicales; Brassicaceae. The record is from RNAcentral.